Molecule: ribosomal RNA, 442 nt
Filed under: uncultured bacterium
Lineage: Bacteria
Description: partial 16S ribosomal RNA
Rfam family: Bacterial small subunit ribosomal RNA
Source: RNAcentral
CCUACGGGAGUCAGCAGUGGGGAAUAUUGGGCAAUGGGCGCAAGCCUGACCCAGCAACGCCGCGUGACGGAAGAAGGCUUUCGGGUUGUAAACUUCUUUUAAGAGGGAAGAGCAGAAGACGGUACCUCUUGAAUAAGCCACGGCUAACUAAGUGCCAGAAGCCGCGGUAAGACGUAGGUGGCAAGCGUGGUCCGGAUGUACUGGGGGUAAAGGGCGUGCAGCCGGGAAGACAAGUCAGAUUGGAAAUCCCGCGGCUCAACCGCGGAACUGCAUUUGAAACUGGUUUUCUUGAGUACCGGAGAGGUCAGCGGAAUUCCUUGUGUAGCGGUGAAAUGCGUAGAUAUAAGGAAGAACACCAGUGGCGAAGGCGGAUGACUGGACGGCAACUGACGGUGAGGCGCGAAAGCGUGGGGAGCAAACAGGAUUAGAUACCCCUGUAGUC